This 322-nucleotide ribosomal RNA is filed under the name Sandona sp. RNAcentral's name for it is "SSU rRNA". The stretch from base 113 to 322 matches the Rfam family "Eukaryotic small subunit ribosomal RNA", at positions 745 to 955 of the family's 1831-position model. Lineage: Eukaryota; Cercozoa; Glissomonadida; Sandonidae. The record is from RNAcentral.
GAUUUCUGAGCAUCAGUUUCUGGCCGGCCACGGUUUCGUGUGUUAGUGCUUGAAACUUUGCUCAUCCUUCCAAUCGCUAUCUAUUGAUCUUCAUUGAUUGAUAGGUGGUAUUGGAUCUUUUACUUUGAAAAAAUUAGAGUGUUUCAAGCAGGCUUUAUGCUAUGAAUACAUUAGCAUGGAAUAAUAAUUUAGGACUUUGGUUCUAUUUUGUUGGUUUCUAGAACUCGAGUAAUGAUUGAUAGGGAUAGUUGGGGGUGCUAGUAUUCAGCGGCCAGAGGUGAAAUUCUUGGAUUCGCUGAAGACUAACUUAUGCGAAAGCAUU